Molecule: ribosomal RNA, 424 nt
Filed under: uncultured bacterium
Lineage: Bacteria
Description: partial 16S ribosomal RNA
Rfam family: Bacterial small subunit ribosomal RNA
Source: RNAcentral
AAUUCUGGACAAUGGGGGAAACCCUGAUCCAGCCAUCCCGCGUGUAUGAUGAACGCCNNNGGGUUNUAAAGUACUUUUGGUAGNGAUNUAAAGGCAUCCCCUAAUACGGGAUGCUGCUGACGGUACCUGCUGAAUAAGCACCGGCUAACUACGUGCCAGCAUCCGCGGUAAUACGUAGGGUGCAAGCGUUAAUCGGAAUUACUGGGCGUUAAGCGUGUGUAGGCGGUUCGGAAAGAAAGAUGUGAAAUCCCAGGGCUCAACCUUGGAACUGCAUUUUUAACUGCCGAGCUAGAGUAUGUCAGAGGGGGGUAGAAUUCCACGUGUAGCAGUGAAAUGCGUAGAUAUGUGGAGGAAUACCGAUGGCGAAGGCAGCCCCCUGGGAUAAUACUGACGCUCAGACACGAAAGCGUGGGGAGCAAACAGG